Molecule: ribosomal RNA, 808 nt
Filed under: uncultured Planctomycetota bacterium
Lineage: Bacteria; Pseudomonadati; Planctomycetota
Description: bacterial SSU rRNA
Rfam family: Bacterial small subunit ribosomal RNA
Source: RNAcentral
GGAUUAGGCAUGCAAGUCGCACGAGAAAGGUUUCUUCGGAAGCCGAGUACAGUGGCGAACGGGUGAGUAAUGCAUAGACAACUCGCCCUUGAGAUGGGGACAACGCCUCGAAAGGGGUGCUAAUACCCAAUGCCGCCUUGGGCCCGCGGGUCCAGGGUGAAAGGAGGCCUCUGAUUCAAGCUUCCGCUCAAGGAGAGGUUUAUGUCCUAUUAGCUAGUUGGCGGGGUAACGGCCCACCAAGGCUGCGAUGGGUAGCCGACCUGAGAGGGUGACCGGCCACAUUGGGACUGAGACACUGCCCAGACUCCUACGGGAGGCUGCAGUCGAGAAUCUUCCGCAAUGCGCGCAAGCGUGACGGAGCGACGCCGCGUGGGUGAUGAAGGCCUUCGGGUUGUAAAACCCUGUCAGCUACUACGAAACACGGGCGAUGAACAAUCGUCCCGUCUGACUUAAGUAGCAGAGGAAGCACCGGCUAACUACGUGCCAGCAGCCGCGGUAAUACGUAGGGUGCAAACGUUGUUCGGAAUCACUGGGCAUAAAGGGCGCGUAGGCGGUCUGAUAAGUCAGGUGUGGAAUCCCUCGGCCUAACCGAGGAACUGCAUUUGAUACUGUCGGGCUAGAGUACAGGAGGGGAGAGUGGAAUUCCUGGUGGAGCGGUGAAAUGCGUAGAUAUCAGGAGGAACACCGGCGGCGAAAGCGACCCUCUGGCCUGUUACUGACGCUGAGGCGCGAAAGCUAGGGGAGCAAACGGGAUUAGAUACCCCGGUAGUCCUAGCCCUAAACGAUGGGCACUAAGUAGAGGGGUUUU